UGCACGUGACAGCGCCACCUCCGCCU
RNAcentral lists this non-coding RNA (26 nucleotides) under Mus musculus (house mouse). The record is from RNAcentral. Lineage: Eukaryota; Metazoa; Chordata; Mammalia; Rodentia; Muridae.